CUACGGGUCGCAGCAGUGGGGAAUAUUGCACAAUGGAGGAAACUCUGAUGCAGCAACGCCGCGUGGAGGAUGACACUUUUCGGAGCGUAAACUCCUUUUAUAUAGGAAGAAGAUGACGGUACUAUAUGAAUAAGCGCCGGCUAACUCCGUGCCAGCAGCCGCGGUAAUACGGGAGGGCGCAAGCGUUACUCGGAAUCACUGGGCGUAAAGAGCGUGUAGGCGGAUUAAAAAGUCAGAAGUGAAAUCCUAUAGCUUAACUAUAGAACUGCUUCUGAAACUCUUAAUCUAGAAUAUGGGAGAGGUAGAUGGAAUUUCUGGUGUAGGGGUAAAAUCCGUAGAGAUCAGAAGGAAGACCGAUUGCGAAGGCGAUCUACUAGAACAUUAUUGACGCUGAGACGCGAAAGCGUGGGGAGCAAACAGGAUUAGAUACCCCAGUAGUC
Molecule: ribosomal RNA, 440 nt
Filed under: uncultured bacterium
Lineage: Bacteria
Description: partial 16S ribosomal RNA
Rfam family: Bacterial small subunit ribosomal RNA
Source: RNAcentral